Molecule: non-coding RNA, 51 nt
Filed under: unclassified sequences
Description: DUF3800-VI RNA
Rfam family: DUF3800-VI RNA
About the family: Actinobacteria, Planctomycetes, Proteobacteria, Spirochaetes. Nearby to DUF3800
Source: RNAcentral
CAGUUGGGAGAGCCGCAGUUUUGGUUCGUUGGAAUUAUUCCACCCGGCUGC